AGCUCCAAUAGCGUAUAUUAAAGUUGUUGCAGUUAAAAAGCUCGUAGUUGAACUUUGGGCUUGGUUGGCCGGUCCGUUUUUUACGUGUACUGGUCCCAACCGAGCCUUUCCUUCUGGCUAACCUUCUCUUCGGAGUCGGCGAACCAGGACUUUUACUUUGAAAAAAUUAGAGUGUUCAAAGCAGGCCUUUGCUCGAAUAUAUUAGCAUGGAAUAAUAGAAUAGGACGUUUGGUUCUAUUUUGUUGGUUUCUAGAACCAUCGUAAUGAUUAAUAGGGACGGUCGGGGGCAUCAGUAUUCAAUUGUCAGAGGUGAAAUUCUUGGAUUUAUUGAAGACUAACUACUGCGAAAGCAUUUGCCAAGGACGUUUUCA
Molecule: ribosomal RNA, 371 nt
Filed under: uncultured eukaryote
Lineage: Eukaryota
Description: SSU rRNA
Rfam family: Eukaryotic small subunit ribosomal RNA
Source: RNAcentral